RNAcentral lists this unclassified non-coding RNA (405 nucleotides) under Hevea brasiliensis (rubber tree). The record is from RNAcentral. Lineage: Eukaryota; Viridiplantae; Streptophyta; Magnoliopsida; Malpighiales; Euphorbiaceae.
GAACAAGGACCAACGAUCCCUCUUUCUUUCUAUAAAUGCAAGCCCACAAAAAUCUCUCCCCAGCGCGAUCAUCUGUCUCUCUUGUUACCUACGCUUACUCCAAUUUUUGUGCAUUUCUCUAAUCAGAUACUAGACAGGCACAUCCUCCAUUUCCUUAAAAUCCGUGUUCGUCUUUGGCUUCUAUGUCUCUCUCACCGCCAAACUGACUCAUUCUCUUAUCUUCUUCUUCACUUAUGACCCCCCAAACCCACCGCAACCCACAAUGGUAACCGCUUCUCACAAAACCCACCAAUUUCCCACACCCCGUGUUUUAAUCGUCGGCAACUACUGCCACGAUGUUUUAAUCCAAAAUGACACCGUCGUUGGCGAAUCUCUUGGCGGCGCCUCCUCCUUCAUAGCCAGCGU